Molecule: ribosomal RNA, 274 nt
Filed under: uncultured bacterium
Lineage: Bacteria
Description: partial 16S ribosomal RNA
Rfam family: Bacterial small subunit ribosomal RNA
Source: RNAcentral
AUACGGAGGGUGCAAGCGUUAUCCGGAUUUAUUGGGUUUAAAGGGUGCGCAGGCGGACCUGUCAGUCAGUGGUGAAAUCCCGGGGCUCAACCCCGGAACUGCCAUUGAUACUACAGGUCUUGAAUACGGUUGAAGUAGGCGGAAUGUAGCAUGUAGCGGUGAAAUGCAUAGAUAUGCUACAGAACACCGACCGCGAAGGCAGCUUACUAAGCCGAUAUUGACGCUCAGGCACGAAAGCGUGGGGAGCGAACAGGAUUAGAAACCCUAGUAGUCC